Maylandia zebra (zebra mbuna) is the source of this 2630-nucleotide non-coding RNA. The record is from RefSeq and is a predicted model, not a curated record. NCBI's taxonomy places the organism in Eukaryota, Metazoa, Chordata, Actinopteri, Cichliformes, Cichlidae.
UGCGUGUUGUUUUUGUGGGACUUCGCAGCCAGUCCAACUGCAGGUUUCGGUUUAGAUGCAGGUGCUGUGAAGAGAUUGGUAGGCUGUGGGCCAACACAGACUUGUUCGAUAAGAAGAGACUGAUUUAGCUGGCAGAAGAAAGUGAAAGUAUCUCUAAAUAAGGGACGGAGGCGACAUUACUGCCUUUUCAGACGGUUUAGAAAUGAUUUAUUGUUAUUUCCUCGCCGUUUGGAUCCUUACCUCCUCGACAGUUGCUGGAAAACAGAAAACACAAUAUGGACUCGUGGGUGAGACAGUCAACUUCAGGACAGAUAUCAGAGACCGCCUUGAUGACAUUCUGUGGAAACACAAUGGGAAUAAAGUGGUACAAUUUGAUGGCAAAGAGCAAAUUGAAUACAGUCAAUUUCAAAAGAGGGUCACCCUCGACUGGGGCUCUGCAGACCUGGAAAUCAACCAACUAACACACAGUGACAGUGGACAAUAUGAAUUGGAUGCGGGAAAGGAAAGUGGUGUUAUUCGUCUUAACUUUGAAUUGAAGGUCCUAGACACAGUGACCAAGCCCACCAUAACCUGUAACAUGAGCGAUGGCAGCAGCUCUGACAAAUCAGGAAGUGAAGCCACACUGAAGUGCUCUGCACACUCAUCACAAUCCUUAAACUACACGUGGAGCCAACCUGGAAAAAUUCAGCCUGGCCAGAUAUUAUCGAUACCUCUAGGGACAGAACAUGAUGAUAAAGUAUACAGCUGUACUGCAAGCAACCAAUUGUCCAAAGAAAUAGCUACAUUCACUGCAAAGGAUUGCUACCCUGUUGGAGCCUCAACAGGACUCAUUACUGGACUGAUUAUUGGCGUGAUAGCACUACUCUUGUGUGUUUUGGGUGCAGUGUUCUGUGCAGUAAAGCAUAAAGCAAAAAAGGAGAAAACCGCUGCGGAACAGCCACAUAGUGAUCAUGAAUCUGAUCAACCAUCAGACCCUCUUCUUCAUAGAAGAGAAACAAGGCCCUCUUCCCAAAAGCUUCACCAUCCGGAAGAAACUUUGAAGAAUAGCAAUUCUGAUCACAAAGAUGAAAAACACAAGAAGUUGGACCGACACACUGGAAAAGUGAAGAAGAUGGUUCAAAACAUUGAACAAGGACAGAUAGAUCCAGUCUCUAUAGAAAAUGAAGUGGAAGAGAAUAGGAAAAAAGAAGACAGUAAAUCAGAUGACAUGACAAACACCAUUUCUAAACAGACAGAGUCAGAGAAAAGGGUAGAUGAGCAAACAUCGGUUUCACUUGAAAAUGGUAUUUGGCCAUCUGCAGUCCAGCCAAAUUCUCCUUUGAACGACGAGGCACCUGUUGCUGCGGAAGAUGUCAACUCACAACAGGCCCCUGGAAUAAAGAAAGAAAAUCAAUCAAUUGGCUCAGGUGUGGAAAACAACAAAGAUGAGCCCAAAAAAGUUAAGCCUGUUGUGCCUGUAAAGUCUUUUAAAAUCAGAAAAGGACAAGCUAAUAUAAAUCCAGCCAGAGAAGAAGAACACAGUGGGGCCACAGAAUCUGGUCUGCAAUCAUCCACUGCUCCUAAAAAUCCAGGAUCAGAGCAACAGGAAGAUGAGGAACCAAAGGGUUCUACUGAAAAUGGUUCUUCAGCAAACCAGCCAAGUUCAUCUUCGAUCAACAAGCCACCUGUUGUUGGGGAAGAUGUCAGCUCAGAACAGGUCACAGAAGAAAAAGAAAAGGAAUCAGAUGACAAGACAAAGAAGGAAGAUCCACCGACCGUUCCUGAUCAAACAGGAUCAGAGCAACAGGAAGAUGAGGAACCAAAGGGUUCUACUGAAAAUGGUUCUUCAGCAAACCAGCCAAGUUCAUCUUCGAUCAACAAGCCACCUGUUGUUGGGGAAGAUGUCAGCUCAGAACAGGUCACAGAAGAAAAGAAAAGGAAUCAGAUGACAAGACAAAGAAGGAAGAUCCACCGACCGUUCCUGAUCAAACAGGAUCAGAGCAACAGGAAGAUGAGGAACCAAAGGGUUCUACUGAAAAUGGUUCUUCAGCAAACCAGCCAAGUUCAUCUUCGAUCAACAAGCCACCUGUUGUUGGGGAAGAUGUCAGCUCAGAACAGGUCACAGAAGAAAAAGAAAAGGAAUCAGAUGACAAGACAAAGAAGGAAGAUCCACCGACCGUUCCUGAUCAAACAGGAUCAGAGCAACAGGAAGAUGAGGAACCAAAGGGUUCUACUGAAAAUGGUUCUUCAGCAAACCAGCCAAGUUCAUCUUCGAUCAACAAGCCACCUGUUGUUGGGGAAGAUGUCAGCUCAGAACAGGUCACAGAAGAAAAGAAAAAGAAAAGGAAUCAGAUGACAAGACAAAGAAGGAAGAUCCACCGACCGUUCCUGAUCAAACAGGUGUGGAAAACAACAAAGAUGAGCCCAAAAAAGUUAAGCCUGUUGUGCCUGUAAAGUCUUUUAAAAUCAGAAAAGGACAAGCUAAUAUAAAUCCAGCCAGAGAAGAAGAACACAGUGGGGCCACAGAAUCUGGUCUGCAAUCAUCCACUGCUCCUAAAAAUCCAGACUUGGUGAAAAAAGCAGAUGACGACCAAAUGUCUGCUCCUGAAAAUAAUGCCUCUCUGUCAGCUGCAGAGCCGCUUUCAUCUUUG